Helianthus annuus (common sunflower) is the source of this 885-nucleotide long non-coding RNA. RefSeq lists it as uncharacterized. The transcript has 2 exons. NCBI's taxonomy places the organism in Eukaryota, Viridiplantae, Streptophyta, Magnoliopsida, Asterales, Asteraceae. The record is from RefSeq and is a predicted model, not a curated record.
CUCUCUCUUCCUUCUAAAUCUCACCCUACCCUGUGUCUUCAUCCUCAUUUGUCUCAAACACCAUAUUUCAUCUUCGAUAUGAGAGAAGGGAAACCUCCAUUUUGUCUUCAUCCUCAUUUGUCUUCAUCCUCCAUUUAACCGUCCACCGCCGGAUCUCCCCCUGGCCCCUCCAUUGUCGUCGGCCUUCCACACAUCUCCGUCGCCAGUCACCCACCCUCAUCGACUCCGUCUUUUCUGCUUUUUUACACUUCUUCAAUGGGCGUCGUACGGACGUAUGAGAGCCGGAGAUUUGAGAUCGAAGAGUUUCGCUGGAUGAUAGCCGGAGAUCUGAGAUCGAAGAGUUUCGCCGGAGAUCCUGUUCCGCCGAAGAUCCUGUUCCGCCUCGUCCUCGAAGUCACCACGGAAGACGACAUCAAUCACCGGCGACGACGGUGUUUGGCGGUGGUGGUGUUGGAGGUGGUUGCUGUGUGAGCGGCGGCGGUGAACGAUGGUGAGGGGGUGGGUGAAGGGGGUGGUCUAUUUAUUUGCAAAGCGGUGCCGGUGGUGCCACCGUGGUGCCCCGUGGUGCCCGCACGGUGCCGUUGGUGCCCCGUGGUGCCGGUGGAUGGAUGAUGAUGAAUCAGGAUGAUGCUGUUUUUUUUUUAGUUUUGUUACUUUGUGAAUCAGGAUGAUGCUGUUUUUUUUAGUUUUUCGUAAAACGUAACCCCCCUCUCGCUUCCUUUUACCGUACUGAAGUCGGAUGGAUGAUGAUGAAUCAGGAUGAUGCUGUUUUUUUUUUAAUUUUGUUACUUUGUGAAUCAGUUUGAUGUUACUAUUAGUUUAGCCGGUCGAUUUCUUUAUAACAUUGCUUUUGGAUAAUAAACUUCUUUUAGGAUUCUUGAUCUC